Molecule: unclassified non-coding RNA, 334 nt
Filed under: soil metagenome
Description: partial contains 5.8S ribosomal RNA, internal transcribed spacer 2, and large subunit ribosomal RNA
Rfam family: 5.8S ribosomal RNA (bases 1-120)
Source: RNAcentral
GAUGAAGAACGUAGCGAAAUGCGAUAAGUAAUGUGAAUUGCAGAAUUCAGUGAAUCAUCGAAUCUUUGAACGCGCAUUGCGCCCGCCAGUAUUCUGGCGAGCAUGCCUGUUCGAGCGUCAUUUCAACCAUCAAGCCCCAGGCUUGUGUUGGAGCCCUGCGGCUGCCGCAGCCUCCCAAAACCAGUGGCGGGCUCGCUAUCACACCGAGUGCAGUAGUUUACUCUUCGCUCAGGGCGUGUGGCGGGUGCUAGCCGUGAAACCCCCAACUUCUCAAGGUUGACCUCGGAUCAGGUAGGAAUACCCGCUGAACUUAAGCAUAUCAAUAAGCGGAGGA